GAACUGCGAUAAGUAAUGUGAAUUGCAGAAUUCAGUGAAUCAUCGAGUCUUUGAACGCACAUUGCGCCCCCUGGCAUUCCGGGGGGCAUGCCUGUCCGAGCGUCAUUGCUGCCCUUCAAGCCCGGCUUGUGUGUUGGGUCGUCGUCCCCUCCGGGGGACGGGCCCAAAAGGCAGUGGCGGCACCAUGUCUGGUCCUCGAGCGUAUGGGGCUUUGUCACCCGCUCCCGUAGGUCCAGCUGGCAGCUAGCCUCGCAACCAAUCUUUUUAACCAGGUUGACCUCGGAUCAGGUAGGGAUACCCGCUGAACUUAAGC
Molecule: unclassified non-coding RNA, 313 nt
Filed under: plant metagenome
Description: partial contains 5.8S ribosomal RNA, internal transcribed spacer 2, and large subunit ribosomal RNA
Rfam family: 5.8S ribosomal RNA (bases 1-105)
Source: RNAcentral